GCUAACUACGUGCCAGCAGCCGCGGUAAUACGUAGGGCGCAAGCGUUAUCCGGAAUUAUUGGGCGUAAAGAGCUCGUAGGCGGUUUGUCGCGUCUGCCGUGAAAGUCCGGGGCUCAACUCCGGAUCUGCGGUGGGUACGGGCAGACUAGAGUGAUGUAGGGGAGACUGGAAUUCCUGGUGUAGCGGUGAAAUGCGCAGAUAUCAGGAGGAACACCGAUGGCGAAGGCAGGUCUCUGGGCAUUAACUGACGCUGAGGAGCGAAAGCAUGGGGAGCGAACAGGAUUAGAUACCCCUGUAGUC
Molecule: ribosomal RNA, 300 nt
Filed under: uncultured Arthrobacter sp.
Lineage: Bacteria; Bacillati; Actinomycetota; Actinomycetes; Micrococcales; Micrococcaceae
Description: bacterial SSU rRNA
Rfam family: Bacterial small subunit ribosomal RNA
Source: RNAcentral